This 245-nucleotide ribosomal RNA is filed under the name uncultured bacterium. RNAcentral describes it as "partial 16S ribosomal RNA". It matches the Rfam family "Bacterial small subunit ribosomal RNA", at positions 524 to 768 of the family's 1533-position model. The record is from RNAcentral.
UACGUAGGGGGCAAGCGUUGCUCGGAAUUACUGGGCGUAAAGGGAGUGCAGGCGGCCUGUUAAGUCACAGAUGAAAUCCCGAGGCUUAACUUCGGAAUGGUCUGUGAUACUGGCGGGCUUGAGGCUGGUUGAGGAGAGCGGAAUUCCCGGUGGAGCGGUGAAAUGCGUAGAUAUCGGGAGGAACACCAGAGGCGAAGGCGGCUCUCUAAACUAGUCCUGACGCUGAGACUCGAAAGCUAGGGGAG